CGAGAGAUCGUAUCCUUCAGUUCGGCUGGAUCGGAGACAGGUGCUGCAUGGCUGUCGUCAGCUCGUGUCGUGAGAUGUUGGGUUAAGUCCCGCAACGAGCGCAACCCUCGCCCUUAGUUGCCAGCAUUCAGUUGGGCACUCUAAGGGGACUGCCGGUGAUAAGCCGAGAGGAAGGUGGGGAUGACGUCAAGUCCUCAUGGCCCUUACGGGCUGGGCUACACACGUGCUACAAUGGUGGUGACAGUGGGCAGCGAGACCGCGAGGUCGAGCUAAUCUCCAAAAGCCAUCUCAGUUCGGAUUGCACUCUGCAACUCGAGUGCAUGAAGUUGGAAUCGCUAGUAAUCGCAGAUC
RNAcentral lists this ribosomal RNA (351 nucleotides) under Ensifer meliloti. Its description in RNAcentral is "Sinorhizobium meliloti bacterial SSU rRNA". It matches the Rfam family "Bacterial small subunit ribosomal RNA", at positions 1000 to 1350 of the family's 1533-position model. Lineage: Bacteria; Pseudomonadati; Pseudomonadota; Alphaproteobacteria; Hyphomicrobiales; Rhizobiaceae. The record is from RNAcentral.